AGUGAACGCUGGCGGUAGGCCUAACACAUGCAAGUCGAACGGCAGCACAGUAAGAGCUUGCUCUUACGGGUGGCGAGUGGCGGACGGGUGAGGAAUACAUCGGAAUCUACUUUUUCGUGGGGGAUAACGUAGGGAAACUUACGCUAAUACCGCAUACGACCUACGGGUGAAAGCAGGGGAUCUUCGGACCUUGCGCGAUUGAAUGAGCCGAUGUCGGAUUAGCUAGUUGGCGGGGUAAAGGCCCACCAAGGCGACGAUCCGUAGCUGGUCUGAGAGGAUGAUCAGCCACACUGGAACUGAGACACGGUCCAGACUCCUACGGGAGGCAGCAGUGGGGAAUAUUGGACAAUGGGCGCAAGCCGGAUCCAGCCAUACCGCGUGGGUGAAGAAGGCCUUCGGGUCGUAAAGCCCUUUUGUUGGGAAAGAAAAGCAGCAGGUUAAUACCCCGCUGUUCUGACGGUACCCAAAGAAUAAGCACCGGCUAACUUCGUG
This 492-nucleotide ribosomal RNA is filed under the name uncultured bacterium. RNAcentral describes it as "partial 16S ribosomal RNA". It matches the Rfam family "Bacterial small subunit ribosomal RNA", at positions 29 to 507 of the family's 1533-position model. The record is from RNAcentral.